Molecule: ribosomal RNA, 253 nt
Filed under: uncultured bacterium
Lineage: Bacteria
Description: partial 16S ribosomal RNA
Rfam family: Bacterial small subunit ribosomal RNA
Source: RNAcentral
UACAGAGGUCUCAAGCGUUGUUCGGAUUCAUUGGGCGUAAAGGGUGCGUAGGCGGCGCGGUAAGUCGGGUGUGAAAUCUCGGAGCUUAACUCCGAAACUGCAUUCGAUACUGCCGUGCUUGAGGACUGGAGAGGAGACUGGAAUUUACGGUGUAGCGGUGAAAUGCGUAGAUAUCGUAAGGAACACCAGCGGCGAAGGCGGCGCUCUGGGCCGGAACUGACGCUGAGGAGCGAAAGCGUGGGUAGCAAACAGG